GGCCCUAAUCUGAAGUAGAAUCGAUUAGUAGGAUCGGCUGGCCCUACUUAACUACUCUACUUCAAGUUUGUGCCC
Molecule: non-coding RNA, 75 nt
Organism: Haemonchus contortus (barber pole worm)
Lineage: Eukaryota; Metazoa; Nematoda; Chromadorea; Rhabditida; Trichostrongylidae
Source: Rfam